RNAcentral lists this ribosomal RNA (467 nucleotides) under uncultured bacterium. RNAcentral's name for it is "partial 16S ribosomal RNA". It matches the Rfam family "Bacterial small subunit ribosomal RNA", at positions 28 to 506 of the family's 1533-position model. The record is from RNAcentral.
GACGAACGCUGGCGGCGUGCUUAACACAUGCAAGUCGAACGGAAAGGCCCUGCUUUUGUGGGGUGCUCGAGUGGCGAACGGGUGAGUAACACGUGAGUAACCUGCCCUUGACUUUGGGAUAACUUCAGGAAACUGGGGCUAAUACCGGAUAGGAGCUCCUGCUGCAUGGUGGGGGUUGGAAAGUUUCGGCGGUUGGGGAUGGACUCGCGGCUUAUCAGCUUGUUGGUGGGGUAGUGGCUUACCAAGGCUUUGACGGGUAGCCGGCCUGAGAGGGUGACCGGCCAAAUUGGGACUGGGAUACGGCCCAGACUCCUACGGGGGGCAGCGGUGGGGAAUAUUGCAAAAGGGGGGGAAGCCUGAUGCAGCAACGCCGGGGGCGGGAGGAGGGCCUUGGGGUUGUAACCCGCUUUCCCCUGGGACGAAGCGUGAGUGACGGUAAUGGGUAAAGAAGCACCGGCUAACUACGU